GCUGUAGAUGGCUCAGCUGGUUAGAGUGUGGUGCUGGUAACACCAAGGUUACAGGUUCAAGUGCCAUAUGGGACAGCU
Podarcis lilfordi (Lilford's wall lizard) is the source of this 78-nucleotide non-coding RNA. NCBI's taxonomy places the organism in Eukaryota, Metazoa, Chordata, Lepidosauria, Squamata, Lacertidae. The record is from the annotation of a GenBank genome assembly.